GAUGAACGCUAGCGGCAGGCUUAACACAUGCAAGUCGAGGGGCAGCGCAGAUAGCAAUAUUGGGCGGCGACCGGCAAACGGGUGCGGAACACGUACAGAAUCUACCUUGAUCUGGGGCAUAGCCCGAAGAAAUUCGGAUUGACUCCCCAUAACAUAUAUGAGUGGCAUCACUCGAAUAUUAAAAAUUUAUUGGAUCGAGA
This 200-nucleotide ribosomal RNA is filed under the name uncultured bacterium. RNAcentral describes it as "partial 16S ribosomal RNA". It matches the Rfam family "Bacterial small subunit ribosomal RNA", at positions 28 to 225 of the family's 1533-position model. The record is from RNAcentral.